This 497-nucleotide ribosomal RNA is filed under the name uncultured bacterium. Its description in RNAcentral is "partial 16S ribosomal RNA". It matches the Rfam family "Bacterial small subunit ribosomal RNA", at positions 28 to 507 of the family's 1533-position model. The record is from RNAcentral.
GAUGAACGCUGGCGGCGUGCCUAAUACAUGCAAGUCGAGCGAACGGACGAGGAGCUUGCUCCUCUGACGUUAGCGGCGGACGGGUGAGUAACACGUGGAUAACCUACCUAUAAGACUGGGAUAACUUCGGGAAACCGGAGCUAAUACCGGAUAAUAUAUUGAACCGCAUGGUUCAAUAGUGAAAGACGGUUUUGCUGUCACUUAUAGAUGGAUCCGCGCCGCAUUAGCUAGUUGGUAAGGUAACGGCUUACCAAGGCAACGAUGCGUAGCCGACCUGAGAGGGUGAUCAGCCACACUGGAACUGAGACACGGUCCAGACUCCUACGGGAGGCAGCAGUAGGGAAUCUUCCGCAAUGGGCGAAAGCCUGACGGAGCAACGCCGCGUGAGUGAUGAAGGUCUUCGGAUCGUAAAACUCUGUUAUUAGGGAAGAACAAAUGUGUAAGUAACUAUGCACGUCUUGACGGUACCUAAUCAGAAAGCCACGGCUAACUACGUG